UACGUAGGGUGCAAGCGUUGUCCGGAAUUAUUGGGCGUAAAGGGCUCGUAGGCGGUUUGUCGCGUCUGCUGUGAAAACCCGAGGCUCAACCUCGGGCCUGCAGUGGGUACGGGCAGACUAGAGUGCGGUAGGGGAGAUUGGAAUUCCUGGUGUAGCGGUGGAAUGCGCAGAUAUCAGGAGGAACACCAAUGGCGAAGGCAGAUCUCUGGGCCGUAACUGACGCUGAGGAGCGAAAGCAUGGGGAGCGAACAGG
This 253-nucleotide ribosomal RNA is filed under the name uncultured bacterium. RNAcentral's name for it is "partial 16S ribosomal RNA". It matches the Rfam family "Bacterial small subunit ribosomal RNA", at positions 524 to 776 of the family's 1533-position model. The record is from RNAcentral.